AUACGUAGGGUGCGAGCGUUGUCCGGAAUUACUGGGCGUAAAGAGCUCGUAGGUGGUUUGUCGCGUCGUCUGUGAAAUUCCGGGGCUUAACUCCGGGCGUGCAGGCGAUACGGGCAUAACUUGAGUACUGUAGGGGAGACUGGAAUUCCUGGUGUAGCGGUGAAAUGCGCAGAUAUCAGGAGGAACACCGGUGGCGAAGGCGGUUCUCUGGGCAGUAACUGACGCUGAGGAGCGAAAGCAUGGGUAGCGAACAGGAUUAUAUACCCUGGUAGUCCAUGCCGUAAACGGUGGGCGCUAGGUGUAGGGGUCUUCCACGACUUCUGUGCCGUAGCUAACGCAUUAAGCGCCCCGCCUGGGGAGUACGGCCGCAAGGCUAAAACUCAAAGGAAUUGACGGGG
Molecule: ribosomal RNA, 398 nt
Filed under: uncultured bacterium
Lineage: Bacteria
Description: partial 16S ribosomal RNA
Rfam family: Bacterial small subunit ribosomal RNA
Source: RNAcentral